This is a long non-coding RNA of Oncorhynchus keta (chum salmon), 2400 nucleotides long. RefSeq lists it as uncharacterized. The record is from RefSeq and is a predicted model, not a curated record. The transcript is spliced from 7 exons. Lineage: Eukaryota; Metazoa; Chordata; Actinopteri; Salmoniformes; Salmonidae.
UUUUAUUACAUUAUUUGUUUAUUGAUGUUUUGUAUUCUUAGCAGUGGGUGCAGGCCAAGGCCGGACUGUCUCCUGAACUCGCCGUUUAACAGAUCCGGAGAUUGGAGGGAUGAGAGAGUGGGCAGAGCUGGUUAAGGGCGACUGACCCGGAGACAGAGAGCUGCCGAAGCGCCUCCCCUUCCCCCAGGCGAUCCUUCUCCAUCUUGAGGCGCUCCCUCUCCACCUGCAGGCGCUCUGUCUCCACCCUCAAGCGCUCUCUAUCCAGCUGGAGCCGGUUCUUCUCCACAUCCAGGAUUUGUUGGAGAAGAUUGGCUUGGGGGCCUUGUGGUGUCCAGCCAGAUGUGAUGGGUUGGGGUGUAGAGUCAGAGUGGAUGGAAUGAGCUGGUGCAGGACAGGAGGUGAUGGGUUGGGGAGCAAAGCCAGAGUGGAUGGAAUGAGCUGGUGCAGGACAGGAGGUGAUGGGUUGGGGAACAAAGCCAGAGUGGAUGGAAUGAGCUGGUGCAGGACAGGAGGUGAUGGGUUGGGGUGCGGUGCCAGAGAGUGCAUCUGCAUUGCUCACUCUUUGGGGUUUCAGGCUGGGUAUCUGUAAAGCACUCUGUGACAACUGCUGAUGUAAAAAGGGCUUUAUAAAAUAAAUUUGAUUCAUUGAUUGAGAGUGGAUUGAGUGAGCUGGUGCAGGACGAGAGGUGAUGGGUUGGGGUGUAGAGCCAGAGUGGAUUGAGUGAGCUGGUGCAGGACGGGAGGUGAUGGGUUGGGGUGUAGAGCCAGAGUGGAUUGAGUGAGCUGGUGCAGGACGGGAGGUGAUGGGUUGGGGUGUAGAGCCAGAGUGGAUUGAGUGAGCUGGUGCAGGACGGGAGGUGAUGGGUUGGGGAGCAGAGCCAGAGUGAGCUGGUGCAGGACAGGAGGUGAUGGGUUGGGGUGGCACUGUUGGUGCUGGCCAAGGUGUUGAUGGUGAGGUGGAGGGUAGCUCCUCCAUGGUGACAGAGGGUAAAGCUGACUCCACAGUUCCCUCUGCUGCUGGUGGGGGACCAGAGCUGGAGAUUUCUCCCUGAGAGAGACCUGGACAAGAGGAUUCUGUCAAUAUUAUUUCAAAUAUUUUAUAUUAUUUAUCACUUCUUGUUGAAAUUAUUUCCUUUAAAAUGUCAUGUUUUCUGUUAGUAUGGCAUUAUGCUUUUUCAUUCAAAUAAAGAACACACAUUGGUCUCUGAUGAGUAGCCUUACACACGUCUGCAGCGAUACGCAGCUAACAAUGACUAUACAUUUAUGGGCGGAUCUGUUUGACUGAAACAAAAAAAAUAUCACAACAUCCUGAAUUGUUCUGAAAUGUAAUACACAAAAAAAAUGUCUGUUGGGGGAAAGAUGUUUGGUACAUUGUUCAAAACUAAUAAAAAUGUGGGGAUGUGGCUGAACUUUUGGGCCCAGAACCAGGCCUCCUCUAUGACACUAAUCUUCGGUCUGUAGACGCUACCAAGCAGGAAGUGAUGUAAUUUGAAGCUUUACUGCAUGUUCUGUAAUAUGAGUCAUAUUUACAUUUCAAAAACAACCGUUUGAUUAAUAACAUUGUAAACAUGCUGAUCAAGAAGCUAAAAUUUCAAAUUUUAUUUUUCUACAGAAAGAGAUCGUGCAUUUCUCGAAGCAGUGGGAAGCAGAUUAUUCAGUCAACCUUUUUAUCCGUUCUUGAUUAUGGCAAUAUUAUUUAUUGAAGUGCAGAUACUACUCUUGGACGCCAUCUACCAUAGCGCCCUUCGUUUUGUUACACGUGACAGUUUUGAUACUCAUCACAGUAUAAUCAAUUCUUAUUUACAAUUCUUAUUUACAAUGAAGGCCAAACCUGAACGACCCUGGGCCAAUUGUGAGCCGCCCUAUGGGACGCUCAAUCACAGCCGGUUGUGAUACAGCCUGGAUUCUGCGCCAUUCCGGAGCCCAACAUCAGUCAACACCUCUCAGAACAAGCCAUGGUAUUAAGAACAAGAUAAAAACGAGCAAUUUACGAUUCACCACAUGGCAGUUUCUUGUCAUUGUUGCUAACUAUCUGGCCAUCCAGAACAACAGCCUUCUGCAAACUUCGUUUUCGUGACGUUGUCAACUUACCCGUCUAUAUAAACAACGCUUUACGAGCUGAGCACAAUGGUCUUACAGAACGUAAAAUAAGGUCUUCGGCUAUUAGUCCAUUUUUGAUUUUGUUGUAAUUAAAAAAACAUUUAAGACAGUGACGUUUCCGAAAUUUCUGGGGUUCUCUUUCAGAUAGUGCGGGGUGGGUGCUAAGUCGUGCCUUCUGUUAAGUAAAGGAGGCUGGAGCACCACUGUGUGAGAAGAAAGGAAAAACAUACAGUUGAGUAGUAAGACGUUCUGUUUUUCCGUCUCUUCUUUUAGGGGAUCUAUGGUGAAGAAGACAAAUGU